CACCGUACAGGGCCAUACUACGCACUAC
Molecule: small RNA, 28 nt
Filed under: Bombyx mori (domestic silkworm)
Lineage: Eukaryota; Metazoa; Arthropoda; Insecta; Lepidoptera; Bombycidae
Description: ovarian small RNA-12966
Source: RNAcentral